Molecule: ribosomal RNA, 253 nt
Filed under: uncultured bacterium
Lineage: Bacteria
Description: partial 16S ribosomal RNA
Rfam family: Bacterial small subunit ribosomal RNA
Source: RNAcentral
CACGUAGGGCGCAAGCGUUGUCCGGAAUUAUUGGGCGUAAAGCGCUCGCAGGUGGUUCGUCGCGUCGUGCGUGAAAGACCCCGGCUCAACUGGGGGAGGUCGUGCGAUACGGGCGAACUGGAGGCCAGUAGGGGGAUGCGGAAUUCCGGGUGUAGUGGUGGAAUGCGUAGAGAUCCGGAGGAACACCAGCGGCGAAGGCGGCAUCCUGGACUGGUCCUGACACUCAUGAGCGAAAGCGUGGGGAGCGAUCCGG